Molecule: long non-coding RNA, 1240 nt
Filed under: Triticum aestivum (bread wheat)
Lineage: Eukaryota; Viridiplantae; Streptophyta; Magnoliopsida; Poales; Poaceae
Description: long non-coding RNA (TAES_LNC018751)
Source: RNAcentral
GACGACCGUGUGGACGGCCGUCGGGCUGUGGCGUGGUGAGCCGUGGAACAGAAUCCGCCUCGCCGUCAGAUUCGUGGACCACGAAGUUCGCUUUCCGUGGUGGUAGAAACGAAUUGAAGGCAGGACCGAGAGUCUUCUCGACUAGGGCGUGGGUAGACUCGGGGACAUAGGCAACGAGCGCCGCCGGCGAGAGUUUCUGUUGCAACCAAUCAGCAGGUAUGGAUCUUUGGUUCCUCUGGCGAUGCUGCCUGCACUUUUUUUUUAGCCCUCUCAUUAGCUGAUCCAGAAGUUGGAUUUCUUGCAAGAUCGGAUCCAGUCUGGUAGGGGAGGUAGGGGAGAGCUUGGUGCCGGCUCUGGCGGCUGUGAAUGCCUUCGCCGUGGGGGAUCUCGAAGUGGCACCGCAGGUGAAGCACAAAUCUUGUGGGCGAAGGGGGUGGCGGCGAACAGAAAGGAGAGCUCGCCGCCAAUGUCAGGAGCUAUUGAUGGGGAAGAUGAAUCCCCAAGCUGCCAAGCACCGGGGUGGAACAGAAGGUUGGUGAAGUAGCAACUUUGCCUUCCAUCAGAAAAUCUGUAACUUAAGUUACAAACGAUUCAAUAAAUCAUGCAGUUAGAGCAAGUGCUUGAUUGCUGUCUGCACUAGUAAAUUUCAUGUUGUGUCCGCCUGUGUUUGGAGGCUGAUUUGUUCUGUGCGUUCAAAAAAAUGUAGGCUAUAUGCGCAUGUAAUCCAUGAAAGCAGAAAUGCAGGUUGGUUACUAUUCUCUAGUGGAAAAGAUUUCUGAUUCGUGUCCAAGUGGUUGCAUGCUGUUUGCUCCCUGUAUUUUGGAAAUCCAUGCCUCAUGAGCCUGUGUUUCCAGGCUUAAUUACUAAAUUAAGGGUUGGUGUUUUGCAGACUAUUUAUUGUCCUGUAUUUUGAAAACUCAUCUCAGAUUAUAUGUGCCUGUAUUGUUAGGGUGAUUACUCUCUGCAAUUACAAGAAUAAAGCUAGAUGUGCCUAUGAGUUGUAGGCUGAUUGGUUCGUGCAUUUAGAAAACUUCAUGAUUUAUGUGCCUGUGUUUGUAGGCUGAGAAUGGGAGGAGAACUACGAGGAGAAACAAACUAGAAUUGUAAGGAUGAUGUGGAUUUAUAUUUCCUUUCUCUUGCGUAUUUGUAACUAAGUUCUGUAUCUAUAAUGGAAUCUCCCUUGAUGUACACUGAAAUUGCAGGGGAGAAUGCUUAUGAGAGCAAACCUUGCAGUCGAGAG